Molecule: ribosomal RNA, 497 nt
Filed under: uncultured bacterium
Lineage: Bacteria
Description: bacterial SSU rRNA
Rfam family: Bacterial small subunit ribosomal RNA
Source: RNAcentral
AGAGUUUGAUCCUGGCUCAGGAUGAACGCUAGCGGCAGGCCUAAUACAUGCAAGUCGAACGGUAACAUGAGAGCUUGCUCUUGAUGACGAGUGGCGCACGGGUGCGUAACGCGUAUGCAACCUACCCUUUACUGGGGGAUAGCCCGGAGAAAUCCGGAUUAAUACCCCAUGGUACUGUAAUGUAGCAUUACAUAGCAGUUAAAGAUUUAUUGGUAAAGGAUGGACAUGCGUGACAUUAGUUAGUUGGUAAGGUAACGGCUUACCAAGACGAUGAUGUCUAGGGGUUCUGAGAGGAAGGUCCCCCACACUGGUACUGAGACACGGACCAGACUCCUACGGGAGGCAGCAGUAGGGAAUAUUGGUCAAUGGACGCAAGUCUGAACCAGCCAUGCCGCGUGCAGGAUGACAGCUUUCUGAGUUGUAAACUGCUUUUAUAUAGGAACAAAGAGGCCAUGCGUGGCAAGUUGCGUGUACUAUAUGAAUAAGCAUCGCUAACU